CUCCACCUGCGCGUAACUGCUGCUAGUUCCCUAACCUCCAGCAGGAGUUGUAUUUAAGGAGGAGGUUGGGGAGGAGGAGAAGGCAGGGGCUCAAGGAGAAGAAGAAAAAAAAAUCACAGAAUCAUGGGGGUGAGGGCAUGAGAGCCAGGGUGCAGGGCUCCCACUGAUGCAAGAGGCAAAGGCUGCGAAUUCUUCCUUCUCUGAGCGGCCCCCAGACACCCCUCAGACACCCCUGUUUUCCUCCCCUGGAUGGUGGGCCUCUGAAAUUCCAGGGCUGUAGCCCGGUGGGUCUGGAUCAGGGUUUUUCUACACCCCCUACACUUCCCACUCUUGACCACAGUCGUCCACUUCCCUACAGACAUGAAAACACGUGUGUGGCUCUGAUGGUUUUCUCAGGCUUUUUCUUGCCCGUACACUAGAGAAGGGGCACACACACGUGCACGCACCAAGGAGAGAGAAUACGUGUAGAGACGCAUCCACAAGACUACAAUUCUAUCCAGUUCAAACAGAUACACAGAGCAUGUGUGUAUUACAUACAUAUAUAUAUUUGUAUAGGAAAGACCGUACGAUUCAAGUGAACUGCGCGCUGAGACCGCUACGUAGGCAGCGCAUGUGUGAAUGUAAAAGCUGGACAGCUCAAAACCAGAACGGGUCAGAGGAAUGUGCUGCGGGUGGAGAGGGAGGUGUGGACCCUUGUCCUGCCACCUCACAUCACUGAGAACAGGGAGAAGAUGAACCUCCUAGUGCUGAAGCCCGCCCACACUCUGGAGUUCAUGGAGACACCCCAACUUACUGGAACUUCAAAUGCCUCCUGGGUGUCGUCCAGCAUCUGGAUUUUAAUGGACAUGAGUUUUCCUGAAGGUGUUGGGGGCGGGGCUGGUCUGUGUGACCCUUCAUGGGCUGGGUCUCCCCGAUCCUCCCCGCAGCCUUAAAGGAGGUUACUGUUGGCCCUGUUUCCCAGAUGGGGCACCUGAGACUCACUUAGUAGCAGCCAAAAUCCAGGAGGUACCAACCAACAGUCUAUAAUCCACUGGAACAAGCCAUUAAGGAAACACAAACCCGCCUGGGACAAUAUAUAAAAGCAGAAAUAACAAUAUCGGGACAGCAAGAAAUGGUAAAUAAAGAACACACGUUCUGCUCUAUUAUACUCUAGUUUUUCAUCUAACAGUGAUUUUGCUGAAGUACAAAAUUCACCUAUAACAGAAGUUCCAUGUGCAUGUUAUAUAUUCUCAGAUUUAAAGAUCAUAAAAUCAGAAAUGAAGAACAAAGUGAAUCUCCACCAGGCAUCUGUAAACUUGGAUACCCUGUGUCACAGCAAGGCAACAGUUAGAAGGGCAUUUUUCUUAAAGUCACUAAGAAUAGUUUCAACAUUGAAAACAAGCAACGGCCACCUGGGUGGCUCAAUCGGUUAAGCAUCCAACUCUUGAUUUUGGCUUAGGUCAGGAUCUCACAGUUCAUGGGUUCAAUACUUGAAUCAGGCUCUGCACCUGAGUGACCAGCCUGCUUGGGAUUCUCUCUUGCCCUCUCUCUCUCUCUGCCUGUGCCCACCCCCUCAAAAUAAAUAAAUAAACAUUUAAAACAACAACAAAAAAAGGAAAAUGGAUUGUUCUCUACACCAAUAUAAGCAGGAAGAAUGAACAGUCUUUAUCUAAAGAAUUCUGAAACUGACAAGAACAUAAAACCAAAUAAACUGAGAGUAAGUAAAACUUAAGCAACAAAAAAAGUAUAUCAUCUGUUACAGAAAACAUGAAAAAAACAAAAAAAAAGAAAAAGAAAAGGAAAACUUAGGGGCACCUGACUGGUUCAGCCAGUGGAGUGUGUGACUUUUGAUCUCAGGGUUGUGAGUUUGAGCCCCACGUUGAGUAUAAAGAUUACUUCAAUAAAAACUUUGAGGGGAAAAAAAAGGGAAACUUAAAACAAUAGUCUUGAAAUUUACAUCUCCCCCAAGUCUAUAAAAGCCUGGGACAUUUUCCCAACAUUUCACAGAUAAACAAUCCUUUUUUU
Molecule: long non-coding RNA, 2004 nt
Organism: Lynx canadensis (Canada lynx)
Lineage: Eukaryota; Metazoa; Chordata; Mammalia; Carnivora; Felidae
Source: Ensembl